UACGAAGGGGGCUAGCGUUGCUCGGAAUCACUGGGCGUAAAGCGCACGUAGGCGGCUUUCUAAGUCAGGGGUGAAAUCCUGGAGCUCAACUCCAGAACUGCCUUUGAUACUGGAGAGCUUGAGUCCGGGAGAGGUGAGUGGAACUCCGAGUGUAGAGGUGAAAUUCGUAGAUAUUCGGAAGAACACCGGUGGCGAAGGCGGCUAUCUGGACCGACAUUGACGCUGAGGCGCGAAAGCGUGGGGAGCAAACAGG
RNAcentral lists this ribosomal RNA (253 nucleotides) under uncultured bacterium. Its description in RNAcentral is "partial 16S ribosomal RNA". It matches the Rfam family "Bacterial small subunit ribosomal RNA", at positions 524 to 776 of the family's 1533-position model. The record is from RNAcentral.